RNAcentral lists this ribosomal RNA (357 nucleotides) under Draculoides sp. SCH032. RNAcentral's name for it is "partial small subunit ribosomal RNA". Lineage: Eukaryota; Metazoa; Arthropoda; Arachnida; Schizomida; Hubbardiidae. The record is from RNAcentral.
UAAUAAAAAUUUGUAGCUAAAAUUUUAUUUGUUUUUCAUAAUUAAUUUGAGGAGUAUUGGCGGUAUUUAAUUAAAUUCUGAGGAACUUGUUUAUUUAAAUUGAUAAUACACAUUAAAUUUUAUCUAUAAAUUAUUUUAUGUAUUGCUGUUUAAUUUAUUAUUUAUUAUUUUUAAUAGAUUAAAUUGAUAUAAAAAUAAAGAAUUCAAGUCAAAAUGUAGAUUUUUAUAGGGUUAAAUGAGUUACUUUUAUAUUGAAAUAUGAUACUGUAAAGUUAAUUGAAAUAUUAAUGAAUAAAGGUUGGAUUAGGAAGUAAAAAAGAAAUAGUUAGUUUUUUUGAUAAUUUUUUAUUAAUAUGU